CACCAAGAAAUUGAGUCAUUUUAAUUUAUGGUUAAAAGGCAGUUAGAUGAUAGAUUAGAUAAAUUAAGUUGUUUAAUGUUAUAUAUAGAGGUAAAAUUUAAGUAUAAUUACAUAAUUUGUUAACAACUUUAAUGAUGUUGAAUCUGCGAAAUUCUUGAGGGAAACUGGGAUUAGGUACCCCAUUAUUCUUGAAGGUAAAUUGUAUUGUAUAAACUACCAGAGUACUAUGAAUUAAUUAAAUUUAAAACUCAAAGGACUUGGCGGUGUCUUAGACCACUUAGGGGAACCUGUCUCGUAAUCGACAAUCCACGUUAUACCUGACCUUUAUUUGUUAACAGUUUGUAUACCGUUGUCGUCAGGUAACUUUUUAGAAAAAUGAAGUUAGCAAUAUAAAUGAAUUAUUUGAUACGUCAAAUCAAGGUGCAGCUAAUAUAAAGGGGAGGAUGGGUUACAAUUAUUUAUUUAUAAUUACGGAAGUAAGAUAUAGAAAUAUAUUACAUAAGGAGGACUUGAAAGUAAAUUAAAAUAGAUAUAUAAUUUGAAUGAGGCUCUGAGACGUGU
RNAcentral lists this ribosomal RNA (561 nucleotides) under Hastula strigilata. Its description in RNAcentral is "partial 12S ribosomal RNA". Lineage: Eukaryota; Metazoa; Mollusca; Gastropoda; Neogastropoda; Terebridae. The record is from RNAcentral.